UUUCCGUAGGUGAACCUGCGGAAGGAUCAUUAACGAAUCUCGAAGGGGGCUGAAGCUGGCCUCUCGGGGCAAGUGCUCGUCUCCGUCGGAUCCAUCACACACCUGUGCACGUCCGAAGGGAGGGGAGAGGUCGGACGAGGAGACUCGUCCCUCUGAUCCUCUUUCUUCAGUUCAUCGACUCUGAAUGUCACUUAGAAAGUAGAAGUCUGUCUCAGUGGCAGUUAUAAAUACAACUUUCAACAACGGAUCUCUUGGCUCUCGCAUCGAUGAAGAACGCAGC
Molecule: unclassified non-coding RNA, 280 nt
Filed under: uncultured fungus
Lineage: Eukaryota; Fungi
Description: sequence contains ITS1, 5.8S rRNA gene
Rfam family: 5.8S ribosomal RNA (bases 232-280)
Source: RNAcentral